AGAAUCAACGCUGGCGGCGUGCCUAACACAUGCAAGUCGAACGAGAAAGUGGAGCAAUCCAUGAGUACAGUGGCGUACGGGUGAGUAACACGUGACUAACCUACCCUCGAGUGGGGAAUAACCUCGGGAAACCGGGGCUAAUACCGCAUAACAUCCACGGAUCAAAUGCGUAAGCAGCUUGAGGAGGGGGUCGCGGCUGAUUAGCUAGUUGGCGGGGUAAUGGCCCACCAAGGCAGUGAUCAGUAGCCGGCCUGAGAGGGCGCACGGCCACACUGGAACUGAAACACGGUCCAGACUCCUACGGGAGGCAGCAGUGGGGAACUUUGCGCAAUGGGGGAAACCCUGACGCAGCAACGCCGCGUGGAGGAUUAAGCCCCUUGGGGUGUAAACUCCUUUCGAUCGGGACGAUUAUGACGGUACCGGAAGAAGAAGCACCGGCUAACUCUGCGCCAGCAGCCGC
This 460-nucleotide ribosomal RNA is filed under the name uncultured bacterium. RNAcentral's name for it is "SSU rRNA". It matches the Rfam family "Bacterial small subunit ribosomal RNA", at positions 26 to 518 of the family's 1533-position model. The record is from RNAcentral.